RNAcentral lists this antisense RNA (69 nucleotides) under Streptomyces sp. NRRL WC-3723. RNAcentral describes it as "ASpks sRNA". It matches the Rfam family "ASpks TB sRNA". The record is from RNAcentral. Lineage: Bacteria; Bacillati; Actinomycetota; Actinomycetes; Kitasatosporales; Streptomycetaceae.
CUUGACGGAGCCCAGCCACAGCGGCUCGGCGCGGUCCUGCCCGUAGGCGGCGAGCAGCGCCUGGGCCUC